RNAcentral lists this ribosomal RNA (460 nucleotides) under uncultured bacterium. RNAcentral's name for it is "partial 16S ribosomal RNA". It matches the Rfam family "Bacterial small subunit ribosomal RNA", at positions 338 to 795 of the family's 1533-position model. The record is from RNAcentral.
CCUACGGGCGGCAGCAGUGAGGAAUAUUGGUCAAUGGGCUUACGCCUGAACCAGCCAAGUCGCGUGCGGGAAGACUGCCCUAUGGGUUGUAAACCUCUUUUGUCAGGGAGCAACGCCGGCUACGUGUAGCCGGACUGAGAGUACCUGAAGAAAAAGAAUCGGCAAACUCCGUGCCAGCAGCCGCGGUAAUACGGAGGAUGCGAGCGUUAUCCGGAUUGAUUGGGUUUAAAGGGUGCGUAGGCGGAAUGCCAAGUCAGCGGUAAAAUCGCGGGGCUCAACCUCGCUCCGCCGUUGAAACUGGCGUUCUUGAGUGGGCGAGAAGUAUGCGGAAUGCGUGGUGUAGCGGUGAAAUGCAUAGAUAUCACGCAGAACUCCGAUUGCGAAGGCAGCAUACCGGCGCCCAACUGACGCUGAAGCACGAAAGCGUGGGUAUCGAACAGGAUUAGAUACCCCAGUAGUC